AAACCAUGAUUAGAAGAUUUGUGAAGCAAUCCUUUAUACCGAUCUCAGAAUUCAUACAUUGAUUCAUCAUCAUCUUGAAGAAAAAAGCAAUAUGGUUCCUAAGUUU
Molecule: small nucleolar RNA, 106 nt
Organism: Hibiscus syriacus
Lineage: Eukaryota; Viridiplantae; Streptophyta; Magnoliopsida; Malvales; Malvaceae
Source: RefSeq, a predicted model, not a curated record